This 89-nucleotide non-coding RNA is filed under the name Staphylococcus haemolyticus JCSC1435. Lineage: Bacteria; Bacillati; Bacillota; Bacilli; Caryophanales; Staphylococcaceae. The record is from Rfam by way of RNAcentral.
ACAUAGUUGCGAAGACUCCUAGGGUAGAGCAGUGCCAGUCGAAGACUACAGGCUGAGACGGCAUCCCAGGAACGCGAAGUAGCUUAUGU